Molecule: long non-coding RNA, 11042 nt
Filed under: Fragaria vesca (wild strawberry)
Lineage: Eukaryota; Viridiplantae; Streptophyta; Magnoliopsida; Rosales; Rosaceae
Description: long non-coding RNA (FVES_LNC005451)
Source: RNAcentral
AUAAAUAAAUGCUAGCUAGCUAGCUAUACGUGCUUUUCCGCCAUAAUGAGGUAAAAUUCCAUUAUGGUGUGACGUGAGAGUUAGACGCAAUCGUUGUAACCCUAUAUAAAUUUAGUAAUUUAUAUAGGGAAUAUGCACGUAUAUAUACACUCAUGCUUUUCCGCCAUAAUGAGGUAAAAUUCCAUUAUGGUGUGACGUGAGCAUUAGACGCAAGCAUAGUAGCCUUCUAUGAAUUUCAAUUUUUCUUAUACCUUCAUAGAAUUCGUACAAGGAGUAUGACGAGUGUAAAUACAUACUUAUAUAUAUCUAUAUAUUAUUUUAGCCUGAGAGGCUUCAUUUUAUUAAAUUUGGAGACUAGCCGAAGCUACUCAUGUAAUUACCAAUUGAUGAGUUGAGAGCUUUUGAGCUGUCCCAUGCAGCAUAUUUUCUAUGGAAAUUUAAAUUGGGAAAGCAUAAAUAUUUUUAUUAAAUUUAUUUUUGUACACUCACUCUAACGUUUGCAAAUGUUUUCCCCUGCGCCCUUCAUUUUAAAAAUGCACAGUUUGCAGGUUAGCAUAGUUGAGGUCGGGCGUACAUAGAGAAGAGGCAUAGUCAAUAGUAUAGCUUCUGCUCAUUUUUAUGUUUCUAGUUCCUUUCCUCUCAAUUAGAGUUGCUCUGAACUAUGAUUGUCGGUUGUGGGAUUCUACUUAUUAAAGUUAGUAAUUUUUUUUUAAAAAAAAAAACGUUUAAUUAAUAACUCACACACCCUAUAUAUGUCCGUGAGGUUUGAACCCGUGACCUCAAAGUUGUUAGUUAAACACCUUAACCAACCAAGCCACGGCUCACUGACAAAAAUAGGGAGAUGUUGUGAUUUGGGGAGCACAAAGGCUCCAGGGGUAAAGGGUUAUAGAUGGAUUCUUUUGGAGUGUAUGCAGGUAUUUUUAGGAAGGGUUGUCCAUUUUCAAGGGAGGUUAUGCCGAAUUUUCGGUUAAUUUUCCUUGGAAGUGGUCCCCGCAAGAUUUACUUCAGGUUUCAGGGUGAAAUUCGGGGUGUAUCGUGACAGUUGGUUUCAGAGCAUUAGGUUAUUCAAUUCCUUUCCCUUUUUAGCACUACCUCAUAUUCUUGGUCAUGGUUAGUGUCUAUAGAGUGAUGGUCCGAUCGCGAUGGAUGCAUUAACAUUAUAUGCUUUAGACACUAAGUGUUGAUUAAGUUUGUGAUGUGGUCGUUCUUAUUUUAUUUAUGGACCGUAGUGUGCCAUAAAUGUCUACAUCUCUAAGACUAUGCCUCGGUACGCCAACCUCUUAAGUAAAUCAUUCUGCUUUGAGAAAUGAAAAGGUGUAUGGAUCACGCCUUUUCCAAGGGUAUCGAGUUGAUAUCAUAAAUUGUUAGAGUUCAAUUGCGAGUUGAGAACUCCAAUUGGGAACUCAUAAGCGUGGCAUCACUCUUUUCUUUUUAUCAAUGAUUGUUUGGGUGAUGAUUAAGAUGCUAGAUUGGGCAAUUUGUGCAAAUCUGUGAUAGGUGAAAUAUUUCAAUUUAUGUUUUGGGAGUUUUCUGUUUUUGGUAGGCAAGUAAGGAGUUGUUGUAGUCCGAUAGAAAAUCUUGGCUUCGAGUUACGUGACUUCUAGGAGAAAAUUGUUGGAAAGAAAGUUCAAAGUAGUGGUGUAUUCUUUUGAUGUUAAAGUUAGUUGAAGUGUUAUGGUGGGGAACUUAUAGUAACUCUUGGAGGUAUCUUUAUGAGUUGUUGCGAACCCUAAGCUUGAGCGAUUUAGUCACGUGGGAUUUGUGGCUAGUGUUUGGGUUGUAAGGCAUUGCUACAUAAAAAGCUAAAUGUCAAUUUAGAUAAGUCAUGAUUGAAGGCUAAUUUGCCGACUAUUUUUAUCUGCAACAGAAAACAGUUGGGAACAUUUUGGGAUAAUGUUGGUUAUAUCAGCACAUAUUCUGGUUCCUACAACUCUAAUUAUGGAUAAGUUUUUAUCCUUAGAGCAUUCUAUUAAGAUGGUAGUGGUAUAUAUUUUGAAAAUGACGAAUUAUAGUAGUCGAUGAAUAAUAAAAAUUCUGAUGUUUUUGUCUCUAUUGUGGGUUAGUUGAAGCUUGUUAAAUCACUAAGUGUAAUGACUUGGAUUGCUUUUCCUUGGGUUGGUUUUAGAUAAGUCAUUGGUCAGUGCGUUGUGACAACUCGUUUUUGUGCCACAAUCGGGAAAUUUUAGAAAUUGAAUGAUGGCACUAAAUGUUUUGAGUUUCAAGCUUGUUUGGAAUCGUAGAGUGAGAUGUCAGUUAUAUUAUUUUAAUCGUGGGGCCAUUAUGGAUUCUUUCGGAAUUCUAGGUGUUGAAGUUUGGUUUCCAAAUUUGUUAAGUGUUUUGGGAAGAUGAUAAAUUAAAAUGGAAUUGAAAAGUAAUGGUGGAGUGGGAGCGGAAUGGUUAUGGUCGCUCUGGUUUUUCGACAACACCUGGUGAAUUUAUUACGUGUUGUCGUAGGUGUUAUAAAUUAGUUGUGUGGAGCUGGUGGAAGUGGUAGCAGUGGAAUAAAACCCACUGGAGUAUGGAGUAAGAGUGUGUGGGUGUCCAUAGUAAUUUUAAGCAGUGUCGUUCUGGAUAGUUGAAAUAUGUCUUGAAUUUGUGAUCGAAGUUGGUUUAUUGACAUCACUUCGUUAGCUUUUGGUGACUAGCUAUGACACAUCAAUGGGAUGAUCUGUUCACUCACCUUAUAUCUAAUUCGGUGAUGUGGAGCAGAGUUUUGGUUGUUGUGUAUGUGAGAAUAUAUAAAUUAUUCCUACUGUAGUUUUUGGGUAGCAUCCUCAGAGCUUGAAAUUAUGGAGUGCGAAUUCAAACUCUUUGAUUUGAAGGUUAGUGAUUCUGGUUAGUUUGUCGAAUUUUUUUGAGGCAAAUGAUAAAUUGGUUGUUGUGUCGUAGACAUGGAUCAUGGGUAAAUCCAGUGGUGAUCCUAAGUGAGCUGGAGUUUAAUUAAGCGAUGAAUCUUGGAGCCGUAUGUCCUAUGUGGUAGUCUGAGAGUCACGUGGUGAUGUUGAAUAGAUGGUUUGUGUCGUUGUAGGUAUAGUUUAUGUUGUAGCCUUAUGGAAGAGGGUUUUCCCCUGUUGACUCAAGAAGCAUUUUGAGUCAAAGUUUAUUAAGAGAUUUAAUAUGUGAAUAGUAGAUAUAUGGGUAGGUUGAAUGACGUCUCUUCUCAGGAUCGUAUUGUGGUGGGACCACUUAUUGAUCCAAGUUUGAUUUGGGAGGUCUUUGCUAUUUGGUUGUGUGUUCAUCCGUUGGUGUCAGGGUGAUUAGUUGAAACCACUUUUAAAUGUUUGUUUCUAGUGCGUUUUCGAAACGGGUUCUAGUGGACGUCGGUGAUUUGUGGAGCUUUUGAGGUCGAAGUGUGGGACUUGUCUUUCAUGAAUUUUAAGUUAUUUUGUUACAUCUCAACCCUUAAAUUUUUACCUUAUUUAUUAGCUUUGUAUUUAAUAAGAAUUUUACCGUCUUCGUCAAUGAGUUAUUAGUUUAAUUGAUCCUUACAUGGGUUUUGGGGCACGUUUAUUUCGGAGGAUUAUUCGUAGGAGAAAAAUGUGACGACGGUAAAAAUGGUAAAUUUUAGUUAGUAAAAGGUAAUUUUUAUUAGGGUAUUUUUAUUCGGGUGUUUUAUGUUAUGGAGUGUGGGUAUUAAGGAGGGGCCGGGCCAUUUUUGGGGUCAAAGCCCACUCUCUCUUUCUCUUCUCUUCUCUCCCGAUUUCUCCCCGAGUUCUCUCCCUUACCAGAAUUUCUAGCCGCCCGUCCGCCGUCGUCCGGCCACCGUUCGCCGCCGCACCGGUCCCAAACGGUUGGCCGUCGACCUAGCUUCCUUCUUGGACCGGUGAGAGGCUCCCUAACGCCACCGUGAGAAAGAUAUCGGGCCCGAAAGGUCUGACUGCCCAAAGCCCUCCGUCGCCGGAACUUCCUCCUCCGGCCACCAAUCCGGGCAAGCCUUAUAUGGUUUUGAAGGUCUUCAACCCAGUUGCCUUGCCCUAGAAGGACUCGGUCCAGUUUGCUUUAAGUGAGGAGAACCGGUGAGUGGAAGUUCUAGGGUUUUUGUAUUGUUUUCGUUCGAUUGGCAUAGUUAGGCUUAGAAUUGGUGUUUGUGCUAGUUAGGAAAGUUGUAGAGGGGGUUGAGAGGAAGAUGCUGUUAAAAUUUGGUAGGCACUGGAGGUUGCCGGAGUGGUAGGCACUGGAGGUUGCCGGAGUCGGCCUCCAGCCGCCGCUGUUUAGGGGAUUUUCAUGGUUUUAAGUUGGUUAUUUUAAGGGGAGUUACUGAUGAGAAUUUUGGAAUUUUGGAGGAGUUUUGGAUAGGUUUAGGGAAUUUUAAAGUUUGGUAAUUUUGGCGGAUUAUUAGGGUAGAAUCCGGCCAUUGAAUUAAUGUUGUGUAGACUGUGGAAGGUUGUGUUAAGGCUGCCAUUAUUUUCUUCGGUGAAGUUUGGAGCUUAUUGAGUUAAGAAUGGCAAAGUGGGCAAGGAUGAGCGUGGUUAAGGCUCAUAUUUAAUUUUGCCCAUUUUGUAUAAAUAUUGGAUUUUUAGUUGAGAAAUUAAUUUUACAUUUGGAAUAGGACGUGAGGAGGCUUGAGCAGAAGAGGCCUCAGAUCGACAUCAGGCUUAGGCCUAUUUUGUGAGUGGACUUUUGUUUUAACUAAAAACAUGCAAUGCAUUAUAUUGUUGAUCAAUUAUUCUUCUGCUGAGAUUUAUUGCUUUCUCUAAUAUUUGGUAAUUUUCAUCUUUUGGAGAGUUCCCGAAAAUGAGAUUUUCGGUGGAUAUGUAUAUUGGAUGUUUAUGAGUAUAGUAUAUAUAUAAAUGCUAGUUAGACAUACGUGUUUGGUCCGUCAUAAUGAGGUAAAAUUCCAUUAUGGCGUGACGUGAGUGUUAGACACAAGCGUCAUAGCCCUAUAUGGAAACUAUUUUCUUAUCUAGUUCAUGUAAGUUUUCAUAUAGGGAGUCCACAUGUAUAUACACCCAUCCUCUUCGGUCAUAAUGAGGAAAAAAUUCCGUUAUGGCGCGACAUGAGCGUUAAACGUGAGCGUUAGACGCAAGCGUCGUAGCCUUGUAUGAAUUUCUAUUUUUUUAUCUUGUUCAUAGAAUUCGUACAAGAAGUCUGACGAGUGUAAAUACAUACACAUAUAUUUAAUUAGUUUUGUCUGAGAGGCUCCAGUUUUAUUGAGUUUUAGAGACUGGCCGAAGCUAGUCUUGUAUUUGCUAGUUUGUGAGUAGAAAGCUUUGAGCUGUCGCAUGCAGCAUAAUUUUUAUGGAAAUUAAAAUGGGAAUGAAUAAAUAUUUAUUUAUAAUUUAUUGUUGUCCACUCACUCUAACGGUUUCAAAUGUUUUCCCCUGGGCCCUUCGUUUUAAAAUGCCUAGUCUGUAGAGUGCGGGUUGGAUCUAGUAGGAAGCGAGGCAUAGUCACCCAUUUAUUCACCACCAUUCAUCAGUAGGUUACCUGUUAACCUACCAGCAUAUUUUCUUGCUUCCUCUAGCUUUAGCAGCUCUGAAUACCUUGAGGAUAAUGUGUAUUAGUUCGGUUGGGUGCUAAGUCUUAGAUUUAAAUUUGGAAUAUUUGAAGGUUGAAGUUUGUUAUUUCAUUUUCAUUUGGAAAUUUAUAAGAUGGAUUAGAAGAUGGUUUUAUUAUUUUGUUCUGGUGGUUGUAUUGUGGGGAACGGGUGGCUCCAGGAGUUGAGGUUGGAUGUGUCGAUAUAGGAGUGUGGUUUGAAUUGUUUUAUAGGUAACGGUUGUCCAUUUUCAAGGGAGGUUAUGCUGAAUUUUUCAGUAAACUUUCCUUAGAGGUGGUCCCCGCAAGACUUACUUCAGGUUUCAGGGUAAAAUUCGGGGUGGGUCUUGACAUAUUUAUUCUGGAGCUUGCGCUGAGAUUAGCCAUGAGCCUUGAUUCUUAUUGGAACUUAUAGUUUUCGUUGGAUGGUGAACCACAAAGUGUAAUAGUGGGCCUGUUACUGAAAUUAAUUUUUAUAUUCGAUGGUUAACUUGUUGCUGCAAGCUCAGUUAUCGGAAAAUCUUUUUGGUGGGAAGCCGUGGCGCCUGGAAGGUGUAGGAGACUUGAGCAUAUCUGAUUUUCAGUUCGUAUUCUGCUAUCAGAUUAAUUGUUAUUAGAGGUAGAAAAAGAAGUGUGUUUGUCGGGUCCAAAAGUUUUGGCAUUUAGAAUCAUUCUUGUGGAACGGCUAGAGUGAGCCGUGUGCUUUUAAUUGUUGCACUUGGGGUCACAGUUGCACCCGAAUAAGUAGCAUGACUGGAGAUGUAAAUUAUGUCAAUGCUUAAGGAAGGUGUUCUAUUUAUGUGGAUUUCAACGUCAAGUUUAGCAUCAUGAAUUGACUGUGCCAAUUUUCGUGGGCAUUAUUAGUCAGUUUUGUUUCUGGCGAGCAAGGAGGAAUAUCCAGUUUCCACAUGAUAGUCAUGUUUCAGAUUAUCUUCUGAUUUGUGGUAAAGAAAUUAGUGGAGAUAGUAGAAUCAGGAGAGAGUUGGAAUUCCCAUGAACUGCUAGUUUGUGGUGCUCAAAAUGGUAAUAUAAUAGUUUUGGUGGACAGACCUAAGUGACGUAGUAUUGAUCUCAACAUAAUAUCAUUUCGAGAAUCGAGGUUAUCAUAUGUUGGUGGACUGGUCACUUAGGCAGAGCAAGGUUGUCUUGUGGACUUGCGAGAGCUUUGACUCCGCAGAAGACUUUACGAAGUGUCUCGGUAUUAGAAGUGAUUGUUGCAGUUCUGCAGUGUAUGCAUCCUUAAAUCUAUUCAAUUAGCGGGUAUUAAUUUUGACCCCUAUGAGCAUGUGGGAAUGCGUAAACUUUAGUUUCCUAGCAAGUGGACUUCAUUGUUGAGUUGUGAGCAGUGUAAUGACAAGGUUGUUGCGUGACGUUAGGAGAUUUGAGCCCGAUGGUGAUAGCAAAUUUAUGUGCUUUAUUGGGGUUAGCUAUUUCCAUUGCUCAUGAAGGAGUGUGCAUACCUAUGGGUACUCGUACUCUAGAGCAGGUAUCGCUAAAAUCACUUACGUGUUGAUGUUAGUGGUUCAACGAAGGAUUUAGAGUCUUUAAGAAGAUUUAAAGUAGUCAGAGAUAGACUCAAAGCAGCUCAAAUUAGUCAGAAGAGUUAUAAAGAUGUCCGCGGGAAGGACCUUAAAUUUCAAGUAGGUGUUUAGGUGUUCUUGAAAUUAUCUUCUAGAAAAGGGGUAGCACGUUUUGGUAAUGUGGAAAGCUUAGUCUGAGGUAUAUUGGUCUUUAUGAGAUUAUAAAGCGAGUUGGCUCACUUGCGUAUCGUUUAGUUUGCCUCUAGAUUUAUCUAGGAUACAUAAUGUGUUUCAUGUAUCCAUGCUUCACAAGUAUAUUGCCGAUCCUUCUCAUGUGUUGCAAGAGCAGCCGAAUUGUUUGAAGAAAGAUUUGACUUAUGAAGAAGAGCCGGUUCAGAUUCUUGACCGACAAGAGCAAGUGCUUAGGAACAAGACAAUCCCACUUGUCGAGGUGCUUUGGAGAAGUCAUCAAGUAGAGGAAGCUACUUGAGAAUCAGAGGAGCAAAUGAGGCAGCAGUAUCCCUACCUCUUAGAAUUGGAGUUUGUGCUAGUUUGGAAAGUUGUAGAGUGUGUUGAGAGGAUGAAGCUGUUAAAAUUUGGUAGGCAUUGGGGUCGCCGGAGUUGGCCGCCACUGCCAGCAGAGCAGACGGCGGCACCGCCGCUGUUAGGGGGAUUUUCAUGGUUUUAAAUGUGUAAUAUUAAGGGGAGUUUAAUGGAAUGAAGUUUAGAAUUUUUGGAGGAGUUUUGAAUAGGUUUUGGAUUUUUUGAAAUAUUUGUGAAUUUGGCGGUUAAUGGGGUAGAAUCCGACCGUUCGAUUUUCCUUAUUAUUAUUUUAGAAUGUUGAAAUAAAUGAAUUGAGGCUGUGGUUGGAGUUUGGCGUGAAUCCGAUAAACUUAACCCUAGAAAGGAUAGUGGGUUAGGCGGAAGAGUUUUGAGUUAUAUAUUUACGUAUUAUUUUUUUCUGAAAUUAAAGUUUGGUCCUAUGCAUGGUUAUUGUGCCAGGAUUCGAGAAGACCUCUCUUGAGUGGCGAUUUGGAUUUCGUCGGGCGUAUGCCUAAAGUUGUGAGUGGACGUUCAUUUUAAAUUAUAAGCAUGCGGUGAUUUCAUAUUAAAUGAAUGAUUUUAUUGAAUAUCAUUUGUGGAAUGUUUAUUUUCGCGAAGUUAUUUUUGAAAGUAAAUGUUUUAUUUUAUUUGUUAACUUCGUUAUUUGGAAAGUUACUGAAAAUGAGAUUUUCGGUGGAGUCAUAUAUUUAUUGUUUCUUUAAUAAUUGGCAAUUUUCAUUAUUUUUGGAGAGUUACCGAAAAUGAGAUUUUUGGUGGACAUGUAUAUGGAUGAUUAUGAGGAUAGUAUGUAUAUAAAUAAAUGUUAGCUAGCUAUACGUGCUUUUCCGCCAUAAUGAGGUAAAAUUCUAUUAUGGUAUGACGUGAGCGUUAGACGCAAUCGUCGUAGCCCUAUAUAAAUUUAGUAAUUUAUAUAGGGAAUAUACACGUAUAUAUACACUCGUGCUUUUCCGCCAUAAUGAGAUAAAAUUCCAUUAUGGUGUGACGUGAGCAUUAGACGCAAACGUAGUAGCCUUAAAUGAAUUUCUAUUUUUCUUAUUCCUUCAUAGAAUUCGUACAAGGAGUAUGAUGAGUGUAAAUACAUAUAUAUAUAUAUAUAUAUUAUUUUAGCCUGAGAGGCUUCAUUUUAUUAAAUUUGGAGACUAGCCGGAGCUAGUCAUGUAAUUGCCAAUUGAUGAGUUGAGAGCUUUUGAGCUGUCGCAUGUAGCAUAUUUUCUAUGGAAAUUUAAAUUGGGAAAGCAGAAAUAUUUUCAUUAAAUUUAUUUUUGUCCACUCACUUUAACGUUUGCAAAUAUUUUCCCCUGGGCCAUUCGUUUUAAAAAUGCCCAGUUUGCAGGUUAGCAUAGAUGAGGUCGGGCGUACAUGGAGAAGAGGCAUAGUCAAUAGUAUAGCUUCUGCUCAUUUCUAUGUUUCUAGUUUCUUUCCUCUCAAUUAGAGUUGCUGUGAACUGUGAUUGUCGGUUAUGGGAUUAUGCUUAUUAAAGUUAGUAAAUAAAUUGGGAGAUGUUGUCAUUCGGGGAGCACGAAGGCUCCAGGAGUAGAGGGUUAUAGAUGGAUUCUUUUGAAGUGUAUGUAAGUAUUUUUAGAAAAGGUUGUCCAUUUUCAAAGGAGGUUAUGCCGAAUUUUCGGUAAAUUUUCCUUGGAGGUGGUCCCCUCAGGAUUUACUUCGGGUUUCAGGGUGAAAUUCGGGGUGGGUCUUGACAUCUAAUGCCCACCAAAUUUUAGCACAAUCAUCCUCUCAACAAUCCAAACAACUUUCAUAACUACCACAAACACCAAUUCCAUGCCUAACUAGGGUAAUCGAACCAAAACAGUAAAAAUCUCAAAUUCAAGCCCUAAUUAUUCAACCAGUUGGAUCUACUUACCUAGAACGAAUGGGAUCGAUUCCUUUUGAGGUUAUGCUACACAGGGCGAGAGCUUGAAGAUGAGACAAGUAUCUCCAGCUAUGGCGGCCGGAGAAGGAAAUUUCGGCGAGAGGUCCACCAACGUUCUUGUCGUGAUAUCUUCCAAGCGACGAUGAGAGGGGCGCUGCCACCAACCCAGGAAGAGAGAAGGGACGCCGGCAAGUCGAACCGGAUCGGUGCGGUGGUCUGAGCUGGUCGGACGGUGGAGCUCGGCGACGGCAAGUCAUCGGGCAGAGGGAGAGGGAGAGCGAAGCUCAAGGAAGAGUAGAGAAUAAGAGAGUUUGGGCCUUUUUUUUCUUUUUCCCCCAACUAGUUUCCUAAUCUGGAAGCUUCUAAAAUGUAAGUUUCCCAUUUCAAACCCAACCACAAAAUAAAAUUUCCCCCUUUCAAUAUCUAGUUUUUUACCUACUUUCCAAAACACAAGUAACUCAUGUCUGUUACUUCAUUUUAUCGUCCUUAACGACUUUCCUUUAAGGAACAAACCCCAUAAUAGUCAUCAUAUAAAAGUCGUCUCUGGUCCUUUGAACUAUAAGACCCCUAAUAAAGGCAGUAAAAACUCAAGGUUAUACAACGUAAAUAAUUAGGGUAACAAUUAAGGGUCGGGAUGUGACAUUGGAGGUGGUCGGAGAAGGCCCGGUCGGCCACCGCUGCCAGCGGAGCAAACAGCGGCGCCACCACUUUUGGAUAGUUUUUCAUGUUAAUUAAUUUGUUAUGCUGAGAGGGGUCCAAUGGUGUGCAAUUUGAGAGUUAUGAUGAAGUUUUUGAUAGGUUUGAGAUUAUUCAAAGUUUGGUUUUAUCGGUGUGCUACUCGGGAAGAUCCUACCGUUGGAUUUCCCCUAUUUCUGUUUCAGAAUGUUGAAAUAAAUGAAAUGAGGUUGCGGGUGGAGUCUGGUAUGAAUUCGAUAAGCUUAACUCUGGUAAGGGUAGUGGGUUAAGCGGAAGAGUUUUGGUGUUUAUAUUUAAGUAUGCUUCUUUCUGAAAUUGAAGUUUGGUCCUAAGCAUGGUUAUUGUGCCAGGAUAUGAGAGGACCUCCCUUGAGUGACAAUUUGGGUUUCGUCAGGCUUAGGCCUAAAUUUGUGAGUGAGCAUUUUGGUUUUUAGUUAAGAUUUUUAGUUAAUAUGCAUGAAUAAUUUUAUAACUAGUCCAUUAUAUUUUCCAAGCUUAAAAUUAUAAUUUCCGCUUUUGAAUUGGUUAUGGAAUUUAUUUGAGAUUAGCAUAUUAGUUAUGGAAUUUAUUUGAGAUUGACAUGUUGGUUAUGUUUUCGUUAACGAACUUAUGGAUUUGAGUAUGGGUAAGUGAUUUGAUAUUUGAGAAUAUUAUUCUUUAUGAUUGGCAAAUUUGAGAUUACAUUAAAGAUUUGAGUUUUCUCUAGUUUUUGAAACAUGUUGAUUAUUUGAGUUAUUUAUUCUCUUAAGCAAUUUAGCAUGUGGGACACGUUAUUGAAUUUAAUUUAUUUCUUUUCUUUUGGAAUUUUCUGAGUACGGUUGGGAACCGUACAUAUGCUUUAGUUAUGAGUUUCGAGGAAACUCACAUGAAUUCAUAUCUUCCUUCCUUAUGCCAUACUUAUUGGAUCGUUAUUAUUC